Molecule: unclassified non-coding RNA, 379 nt
Filed under: uncultured Gammaproteobacteria bacterium
Lineage: Bacteria; Pseudomonadati; Pseudomonadota; Gammaproteobacteria
Description: contains 16S-23S intergenic spacer region
Source: RNAcentral
UCCCCGUUAUCCGGGGCGGUUUCACUAGAGUGCCCGGCUUGACCCGCUGGCAACUAGGGACAAGGGUUGCGCUCGUUGCGGGACUUAACCCAACAUCUCACGACACGAGCUGACGACAGCCAUGCAGCACCUGUGUUCCGAUUCCCUUUCGGACACCCCCACCUCUCAGCAGGGUUCCGGACAUGUCAAGGGUAGGUAAGGUUGUUCGCGUUGCAUCGAAUUAAUCCACAUCAUCCACCGCUUGUGCGGGUCCCCGUCAAUUCCUUUGAGUUUUAAUCUUGCGACCGUACUCCCCAGGCGGGAUGCUUAAUACGUUAGCUGCGCCACUGACGGGUAAACCCGCCAACGGCUAGCAUCCAUCGUUUACGGCGUGGACUAC